UACGACUACAUAUCAGGCAUAUCAAUAAGCGGAGGGAAAAGAGGGCUAUUACCUACGCUUAGGAUGUUGACACGCGCGCGUGCUCGGCUCUAUACAUGACUCUGCGAUAUCAAUAAGCGGAGGAAAAGAAACUAACAAGGAUUCCCCUAGUAACGGCGAGUGAAGCGGGAAGAGAUCAAAUUUGAAAUCUUAAAGGGUUUCCCUUUACGAAUUGUAGUUUAAAGAAGUGUUUUCUGUUGAGGUUUUGGUAAAAGUUCUUUGGAAUAGGACAUCAUAGAGGGUGAGAAUCCCGUAUUUGACCUUUACUUUCAACUUUGUGAUACACUUUCAAAGAGUCGGAUUGUUUGGGAAUGCAGUCCAAAAUGGGUGGUAAAUUUCAUCUAAAGCUAAAUAUUGGCGAGAGACCGAUAGCGAACAAGUACCGUGAGGGAAAGAUGAAAAGAACUUUGAAAAGAGAGUUAGACAGUACGUGAAAUUGUCAAAAGGGAAGCGUUUGACACCAGUGUUGUUUUUCUGAAAAUCAAUUAAAGAACUGUUUAUGCUAAGCUGUUUAGACUUUAUCAGCUAUCUGUUUAGUUUUGAGCUUUUCUUUAAUGCACUUUUCAGUUAACAAGUCAACAUCAAUUUCUUUUGCUGUAAAAAAGCUUGAGGAAGGUGGCUUGAGAUUCGUCUUAAGUGUUUAUAGCCUCUUGCCUAUGCAGUCGGAGAGAUUGAGGUCUGCAGCGUAGAUCCUUCGGGGCUAAAUGCAUUUGUGCUAAGUUAUAGCAUUUUAUAGACAACUUGUUGACUAUGAUUUGUCUUGUAGCUUACUCGCUUAUGUUAUUUUACCUACGCUUAGGAUGUUGAUCUACAGAGCGAGAGU
RNAcentral lists this ribosomal RNA (862 nucleotides) under uncultured Neocallimastigales. RNAcentral describes it as "partial large subunit ribosomal RNA". It matches the Rfam family "Eukaryotic large subunit ribosomal RNA", at positions 1 to 635 of the family's 3401-position model. The record is from RNAcentral. Lineage: Eukaryota; Fungi; Neocallimastigomycota; Neocallimastigomycetes; Neocallimastigales.